GCUCAGAUUGAACGCUGGCGGCAGGCCUAACACAUGCAAGUCGAGCGGUAACAGAAAGUAGCUUGCUACUUUGCUGACGAGCGGCGGACGGGUGAGUAAUGCUUGGGAACAUGCCUUGAGGUGGGGGACAACAGUUGGAAACGACUGCUAAUACCGCAUAAUGUCUACGGACCAAAGGGGGCUUCGGCUCUCGCCUUUAGAUUGGCCCAAGUGGGAUUAGCUAGUUGGUGAGGUAAUGGCUCACCAAGGCGACGAUCCCUAGCUGGUUUGAGAGGAUGAUCAGCCACACUGGGACUGAGACACGGCCCAGACUCCUACGGGAGGCAGCAGUGGGGAAUAUUGCACAAUGGGCGCAAGCCUGAUGCAGCCAUGCCGCGUGUGUGAAGAAGGCCUUCGGGUUGUAAAGCACUUUCAGUCAGGAGGAAAGCGUGGUGGUUAAUACCCAUCAUGUGUGACGUUACUGACAGAAGAAGCACCGGCUAACUCCGUGCCAGCAGCCGCGGUAAUACGGAGGGUGCGAGCGUUAAUCGGAAUUACUGGGCGUAAAGCGUACGCAGGCGGUUUGUUAAGCGAGAUGUGAAAGCCCCGGGCUCAACCUGGGAACUGCAUUUCGAACUGGCAAACUAGAGUGUGAUAGAGGGUGGUAGAAUUUCAGGUGUAGCGGUGAAAUGCGUAGAGAUCUGAAGGAAUACCGAUGGCGAAGGCAGCCACCUGGGUCAACACUGACGCUCAUGUACGAAAGCGUGGGGAGCAAACGGGAUUAGAUACCCCGGUAGUCCACGCCGUAAACGAUGUCUACUAGAAGCUCGGAGCCUCGGUUCUGUUUUUCAAAGCUAACGCAUUAAGUAGAC
Molecule: ribosomal RNA, 851 nt
Filed under: uncultured Pseudoalteromonas sp.
Lineage: Bacteria; Pseudomonadati; Pseudomonadota; Gammaproteobacteria; Alteromonadales; Pseudoalteromonadaceae
Description: bacterial SSU rRNA
Rfam family: Bacterial small subunit ribosomal RNA
Source: RNAcentral